AACGAACGCUGGCGGCAUGCCUAACACAUGCAAGUCGAACGAUUGCCUUCGGGUGAUAGUGGCGCACGGGUGCGUAACGCGUGGGAAUCUGCCCUUAGGUUCGGAAUAACAGCUGGAAACGGCUGCUAAUACCGGAUGAUAUCGCGAGAUCAAAGAUUUAUCGCCUGAGGAUGAGCCCGCGUUGGAUUAGGUAGUUGGUGGGGUAAAGGCCUACCCAGCCGACGAUCCAUAGCUGGUCUGAGAGGAUGAUCAGCCACACUGGGACUGAGACACGGCCCAGACUCCUACGGGAGGCAGCAGUGGGGAAUAUUGGACAAUGGGCGCAAGCCUGAUCCAGCAAUGCCGCGUGAGUGAUGAAGGCCCUAGGGUUGUAAAGCUCUUUUACCCGGGAAGAUAAUGACUGUACCGGGAGAAUAAGCCCCGGCUAACUCCGUG
This 435-nucleotide ribosomal RNA is filed under the name uncultured bacterium. RNAcentral describes it as "partial 16S ribosomal RNA". It matches the Rfam family "Bacterial small subunit ribosomal RNA", at positions 29 to 507 of the family's 1533-position model. The record is from RNAcentral.